This 468-nucleotide ribosomal RNA is filed under the name uncultured bacterium. RNAcentral describes it as "partial 16S ribosomal RNA". It matches the Rfam family "Bacterial small subunit ribosomal RNA", at positions 28 to 507 of the family's 1533-position model. The record is from RNAcentral.
GACGAACGCUGGCGGCGUGCUUAACACAUGCAAGUCGAACGGAAAGGCCCUGCUUUUGUGGGGUGCUCGAGUGGCGAACGGGUGAGUAACACGUGAGUAACCUGCCCUUGACUUUGGGAUAACUUCAGGAAACUGGGGCUAAUACCGGAUAGGAGCUCCUGCUGCAUGGUGGGGGUUGGAAAGUUUCGGCGGUUGGGGAUGGACUCGCGGCUUAUCAGCUUGUUGGUGGGGUAGUGGCUUACCAAGGCUUUGACGGGUAGCCGGCCUGAGAGGGUGACCGGCGACAUUGGGACUGAGAGACGGCCCAGACUCCUACGGGAGGCAGCAGUGGGGAAGAUUGCACAAUGGGCGGAAGCCUGAGGCAGCAACGCCGCGUGCGGGAUGACGGCCUUCGGGGUGUAAACCGCUUUCGCCUGUGACGAAGCGUGAGUGACGGUAAUGGGUAAAGAAGCACCGGGUAACUACGUG